GAUGAACGCUGGCGGCGUGCCUAAUACAUGCAAGUCGAGCGAACAGACGAGGAGCUUGCUCCUCUGACGUUAGCGGCGGACGGGUGAGUAACACGUGGAUAACCUACCUAUAAGACUGGGAUAACUUCGGGAAACCGGAGCUAAUACCGGAUAAUAUAUUGAACCGCAUGGUUCAAUAGUGAAAGACGGUUUUGCUGUCACUUAUAGAUGGAUCCGCGCCGCAUUAGCUAGUUGGUAAGGUAACGGCUUACCAAGGCAACGAUGCGUAGCCGACCUGAGAGGGUGAUCGGCCACACUGGAACUGAGACACGGUCCAGACUCCUACGGGAGGCAGCAGUAGGGAAUCUUCCGCAAUGGGCGAAAGCCCGACGGAGCAACGCCGCGUGAGUGAUGAAGGUCUUCGGAUCGUAAAACUCUGUUAUUAGGGAAGAACAAAUGUGUAAGUAACUAUGCACGUCUUGACGGUACCUAAUCAGAAAGCCACGGCUAACUACGU
RNAcentral lists this ribosomal RNA (496 nucleotides) under uncultured bacterium. RNAcentral's name for it is "partial 16S ribosomal RNA". It matches the Rfam family "Bacterial small subunit ribosomal RNA", at positions 28 to 506 of the family's 1533-position model. The record is from RNAcentral.